CUUCAGUCUUUCUUCACCUUCGACCUGCGAUCUCUCCUCUUCCACUUUCGGUUUGAUCACUCACUGUCCUGUCGCUUAUUACUGUCGACAACCUCGCGGAGGAAUCAAAUGCUGGACUCUUCUACUCAACCUCAGCCAAAGGUGAAGCAUCCAAAGUGUUUUUUUGGUCCUGAGAAGUUCCAUGAAGACGAAGCAAGACCCAGUCCACGCAAAAAAAAAACAGAUGGUGUCUUUCUUCGUAACCCAGUGUUCAUUAGUUCCCAUGCAGCCAAAAGCAUUAAUCUUUUUAAGCAAAACUGGACUGGGUUUCAUGCACAUCCUUUGCAAAUUAGACAAAGCUUUCGUUUUCUUCUUAUUAUGUUUUCUUUUUUUCUGGGUGUAUCUGAUUGAUGAUUUUAGAAGUGUCGUACUGGAGCAGCAGCAGAAGCAGAAGCAAGAGGAAGAAUGGUUGGGAUCGAGUUUCAGACCCCAGAAUUACAUUCCUGGCCUUGUGAUGGGUUUCAUUCUUGGGUGGAUCGUGGAUUUGACAAAGCCUGCCAAAAACCCCGUUAGAAGGAGAAAUCUUUUGCGUGGAAAGCACAAGGAGGUGUCUUUGGUCUCGAGUGACAGCGAGCAAGAGCUUAAAAUGGUAGUAAUUUGAGUCUUCUAGUGAUCAGACAUUGCUGCAACAGCUUCUCUUUUGUUCCAGCUAAAAAAGCUAGUACUGUAGUCUCUUGCGGCUAAAGAUUAUCAAAGUCUUCGAUAUGUCAGGAAGUUGAUUAAGGAGAUUCUGAAAUCUUGGUCACCAAGCUUGAAAGAUAUAGAAUUGCUGCUAUAAAUUUUGAUUCAUUCAAAGAAUUUGCUGAAUUUUUUUUUGGGUCAUGUGUGGGUGUUUGGUUGGGAGGGGGGGCACGUCGUCCGGGGGCGCUACUUUUUCGUUUAUCAAUGAAGGAAAAGGAAAAUCGGAGAUAAUGGGGAAACUUAUUCUAGCUCGAAGAUUGGUCUAUACAUAGUCUGCUCUAAUUCGGUUGAAAUGCUUGUGGCGGGUUUUGGUUGUUAGGCAAGAUCUGAAGAUGGGACCAGGAAAAGUGGCAUCUCAAUGUGCUCCGAUCAGUUUCUUUUAAGACAGUGGGAGCAAAGCGGGCAGCCCAAGAUCGUCUGUACAUGCAAGAAUCAACAAGAAAUGUAAGCAGGAAUCAGCUAAGGGAAGCCGCUGAGAGCACUGGCCUUCCAACUUUUGUAGUCACUGAUGCUGGAAGAACUCAGGUAGCUGCUGGUUCAAGGACUGUGCUUGCGAUAGGACCUGGUAUGCUCAUCAAUUUUAUUUUUUAAAGCUCUCUUUGUUCCACGGCAUUCUAUUAUAAUGUACUCCAAAGGCUACUAAUUGGAUGCAACGGCCCGUUUUAUGCUGAGCAUAUGGCAUAGGAAGCAAUUGGGACCAAUUUCAAUACAAUUAAAAUUUCGAAAACCAGAGGGUGGAAAUGAUAAAAGUUAGACUCCAGAGAGUAGCCUGUUUUCUUCCUUUUUGUCACUCUGUAUAUUUGUUGCUGAUUCUGAGCAGGACCAAAGGCAUCAGUUGAUUCGAUUACCGGAAAAUUGCGCCUGCUUUGAUGUACCGAAGAACUGAGGAGUACACAACUAAUUCUGACUCGUUGGCUGAUUCGAUCAUCACUCCAUUAUGGUCUCGAGGUUCUGAUCCAUGUCGCAUUUGGCAUGGGUCAUGAUAAUACGAGUCUUGGCUAGCCUCCAUCAGUCCAUACUGUUGCAUUCUGCACAUUAUUUUGUGACGACCA
Molecule: RNA transcript, 1772 nt
Organism: Syzygium oleosum
Lineage: Eukaryota; Viridiplantae; Streptophyta; Magnoliopsida; Myrtales; Myrtaceae
Exons: 4
Source: RefSeq, a predicted model, not a curated record